UUGGAUCUGCAGUUGAGGUAAAUAGGACCAAGUUGUGCUCAACGUCGCCUUCUGAAAAUUCUCCUCCACUCACAUAAUCUUCCAUCCAGAAUGGUACUCUUCUGUUCCUCCCUUGUUGUGAGCUUGGUGAGCUUUCUCCAGAUACUCCUGAAUUUUCACCAAGUGACUCACUCAAAGAACCAAGUGACUCACUCGAAGACAAGCUGUCCUCUCUUUCUCUUCCCUCUACUGCCACCCCCUCUUCAGCGUCAUCUUCACUCCCUUCUUCAUUGCUAUCUCCCCAUUCAAGCACAUCAAGUCUUACUUCUUCAUUA
This 314-nucleotide long non-coding RNA is filed under the name Vitis vinifera (wine grape). Its description in RNAcentral is "long non-coding RNA (VVIN_LNC008162)". The record is from RNAcentral. Lineage: Eukaryota; Viridiplantae; Streptophyta; Magnoliopsida; Vitales; Vitaceae.